CCUACGGGAGGCAGCAGUAGGGAAUCUUGCGCAAUGGGCGAAAGCCUGACGCAGCCAUGCCGCGUGAAUGAUGAAGGUCUUAGGAUUGUAAAAUUCUUUCACCGGGGACGAUAAUGACGGUACCCGGAGAAGAAGCCCCGGCUAACUUCGUGCCAGCAGCCGCGGUAAUACGAAGGGGGCUAGCGUUGCUCGGAAUUACUGGGCGUAAAGGGAGCGUAGGCGGAUAGUUUAGUCAGAGGUGAAAGCCCAGGGCUCAACCUUGGAACUGCCUUUGAUACUGGCUAUCUUGAGUAUGGGAGAGGUGAGUGGAACUCCGAGUGUAGAGGUGAAAUUCGUAGAUAUUCGGAAGAACACCAGUGGCGAAGGCGACUCACUGGCCCAUUACUGACGCUGAGGCUCGAAAGCGUGGGGAGCAAACAGGAUUAGAUACCCUGGUAGUCCACGCCGUAAACGAUGAGUGCUAGUUGUCGGCAUGCAUGCAUGUCGGUGACGCAGCUACGCAUAAGACGACUCCGCCGUGGGAGGUACGGUCGCGAAGUAGUUAAACUUACGAAAGUAAGUUAGACGGCGNGAGACGNGCCGACGGCGACGACGAGGGAGGAGG
RNAcentral lists this ribosomal RNA (604 nucleotides) under uncultured bacterium. RNAcentral describes it as "bacterial SSU rRNA". The stretch from base 1 to 517 matches the Rfam family "Bacterial small subunit ribosomal RNA", at positions 338 to 873 of the family's 1533-position model. The record is from RNAcentral.